Triticum urartu is the source of this 125-nucleotide non-coding RNA. Lineage: Eukaryota; Viridiplantae; Streptophyta; Magnoliopsida; Poales; Poaceae. The record is from Rfam.
AAACUACUCCCUCCGUUCUAAAAUACUUGACUUCCAUUGGAUGUACCUAUGUAUUAAAACAUGUCUAGAUACAUCUAUAUUUUGACAAAUGGGAGGCAUGUAUUGUGGAACGGAGGGAGUAGAUC